Molecule: unclassified non-coding RNA, 581 nt
Filed under: uncultured Acidobacteriota bacterium
Lineage: Bacteria; Pseudomonadati; Acidobacteriota
Description: uncultured Acidobacteria bacterium partial contains 16S ribosomal RNA, 16S-23S ribosomal RNA intergenic spacer, and 23S ribosomal RNA
Rfam family: Bacterial large subunit ribosomal RNA (bases 468-581)
Source: RNAcentral
GCGGCUGGAUCCCCUCCUUUCUAAGAGAGAACGUGGGUGGAGUUUCCGAAAAAGGUAUCUGUUGAGUGUACACAGAGCCGAAGUAGGGAACAGCCGUUCCACUCCAAACCACUGCCUGAGCUUCGGCGAGGGUAGUGAGCCCGCUCUGGGAUCUCCACUUGGAGAACGACGGUUCUUCCGAGGCGGCCAUCGGCUGGUCCGAUGGUCCCUGCAUCCAACUGGCCUCGGCUGAUAGCUGUUAGCCAUUAGCCGUUGGCCCAUUAGCUGGCCCAUACCGGGCUCCAGCUAAAAGCCAACAGCCAACAGCCAAUAGCCAAUAGCUUGGCUGAAGUUCUUUGACAAUUGAAUAUUGACGGGCAUAAACAAACACAAGUUAUAAGUGUAAGCGCGAGAAAGUAGCGUUCACUCGGCCGAUAACCGGGGAAGUAAACCGGGAGGUAUGGCCGAAUGUGUGUUGUAGAUUUUAUGGUCAAGCUACUAAGGGCGUGUGUGUGGAUGCCUUGGCGCAAGUAGGCGAUGAAGGACGCGAUCAGCUGCGAAAAGCCUCGGGAAGCCGCUAAUAGGCCGUGAUCCGGGGAUAU